UACGUAGGGGGCAAGCGUUGUUCGGAAUUACUGGGCGUAAAGGGCGCGUAGGCGGCAUGGCAAGUCAGGAGUGAAAGGCCUGGGCUCAACCGAGGAACUGCUUUUGAUACUGCCGAGCUAGAGUGCGGAAGGGGCAACUGGAAUUCCCAGUGUAGCGGUGAAAUGCGUAGAUAUUGGGAAGAACACCUGAGGCGAAGGCGGGUUGCUGGGCCGACACUGACGCUGAGGCGCGAAAGCCAGGGGAGCAAACGGG
RNAcentral lists this ribosomal RNA (253 nucleotides) under uncultured bacterium. RNAcentral describes it as "partial 16S ribosomal RNA". It matches the Rfam family "Bacterial small subunit ribosomal RNA", at positions 524 to 776 of the family's 1533-position model. The record is from RNAcentral.